CCUCAAUUUCUUUCCAUCCCCUCCUGUGCGCCUGCACCAUAUCCUUCCUAUACAGAGUUUUUGCUUGGCAGCAAGUCUCUCUGGUCCAUUCCAUGUUAAUUAUAUCACAGUCCUCACGAUUGCCAAGUGUUCCCAUCUGGCCACUGGGUCUUGAUGAUGAAACGAUGUUGUCUGCCAGGACCUCGAAGAGCUGAGAAUGACUGCCUUGACUCUGUGCAUGAAGGAUCGGAGGCCCAGAAAGGCAGACUUCCCAAAGGGGAAAAGGGGGCAGCUGUGGGCAUAACUCGUGUUCAAGGAGCAGGAAAGCAGGAUCGCAGUUCGGGCCCCGGCAGGCACUGUGCUGAGGUUGCCAGGGUUUGGCGUUUUCAGCUAAAGAGGCCGACCGAGCAAACCAGCGAAGACGCUUUGCAUCCCCUCCGGCGGAGCAUCCUGCCCUCGUGCAUAAACACAGUAACAUAGUCCCCGCGGCCGCCCGCCGUUCUCCGCAGCUCUCCCGGCCGGCCAGGAGCCCGAGUUCUGCGGCCCGUUCUCAUCUAAACGAUGCUCAUCAUAGAAGAGUUUUCAAUCCAGGUAAAUAUCAUCCCCUCCCAGCGUCACAUCCACACGCCUGCGCUCGCUCCCUCUUUCUUCCUUUCCUUAGAUUCCUCACGCCCACUCGCGGGAGAUGCUCCUGGUGGGGAUCGCAGCUUUGCUCCUCAGUGAACGAUAACAGCGCCCAACGCCUCUCCUGCAAAGCCCUCCGCGACUUGCAAAGGUGGGAAUAAAUCAGAGCAGGGAAGAGACGCUGCAGGAAGCCAGAAGCUAAAUGCUACAUCUUGUCGCAGGAGGCCAGGGGGAGCGGGAGCCUGCCUUUCCUGGCAGCCAAUUUCUUCCUGCUCGUUACCUCUGCCGGCCGCAGCCCGUUAGAACAGUCAUUCCGGAUCUGCUGGAAGCUGUCACCCCUCUCCUUCCUGCCGUGGCAGCUGGUGUGGGAGGCCGCAGACUGCCCAGUCCCUUCCAGAGUCUUCACACACACACACACACACACACACACACAAUGAAGCUUAAUUUGUUACAAAAGAAAAAAAAUAAAGUGGCAGCUUACCCUCAGGCUCAGAGCAUGCAUGGGGUGGGAGUGGGGGAGGGGGGGGGAGCAAAGAUAGAUGCCUGCAGGUAGCCUACCGCAGACACGGAUUCCGCUCCCUCUGCCGCACCCCCCCCUCCCCCCGACACACACACCGCAUGUACCACAUUCAUCAUGCCGGAUGGGGAGACAGUUCAAAAACUUCAGCAGUUUUCCAACAAAGAUGCACCGUUUAAAAAAGACAAUAACACAACUUCAUUUUGUGUCGCUUUCUUUGUACCAGCAGUGAAUCUGAAAAAUGUGCUAUGGAUGUGAGUGUAAAUAAUUAACGCCCGGGUAGGGACAGGAGGGAGAGUCGGGAAUAGACACGGGAAUAGACACGCAUAAGCAGAGGGGGAUCCUCUUUCCCUCCCUGUGACCUUCCCCAGAUCGCAGGGCCUGGGCCAGGCCUCCCCAUUCAUCACAGGCUCAGUUAGCUCUGCCCUGGCUCCUGGACCAAUUCAGACAGCAGAUGGGCGGCCCUGAAAUAGCUCGGUCCUUUCACCCCGUGGGAUGUAAUAUGCAGGCUUCCCAGACCCAAGAGUCCCGUGAUGUCCCUGGGCCCCUGGGCCCUCUGUCUUGGUUCUCACUGCCCGGCUAUCCUCAAAUGAGUCCGGGGAUCUCUGCCUCUGACACCCAGGCCUGCAGCUUGUACCCUGAUACCCUGAUUCUUGAAGCUUCCUGUUGAUGACACUGGCCACUCUCAAUCCAACAUGCUGCCCACCCCGGAUUUCCCGGGUCCGCUUUCCUUCCUGGGAUGUGCCUGUCCUUCUUGGAAGCCCUAAUGUCCACUCUUGCCUGACCAGGUCCUCUUCUUUGUCUCGCAUGCCCAGCUGCUGUGUGCCCUAGCCCCAUCCUGGCCCUCAACCUGCUGUAGUUUAGAAUGUCUGUGCCAGACCCCUUCUCCUGUUUUCUGUCUAUACUGGAUUCCUACCAUACCCCAAAGUUUGAAGCAAUAAAUGAGUAAAAGGGGAGAGGAGAUUCCUAGAACUCAGUGGAGUAGGGGUGUGGCCAAAGGUACCGAGCACUAGAAAAGGACAUGAUGGCGGACUGCAGGGUCUUGGUGCAUAGUCCUAAAAGCCUGAACCCCAAAGUGACUGAGACAGGGGAUGGUGCGUUGAGGGGUGGCAGGGGUGGCCAUAAACUUCUGAAAAACCUCUAGUCAUUGGGAGACAAGCCAGGCUUCCUAGUCACAGACACAAUGACAAAUUGGACCUGCUCUUCCUGGUUCCAGAAAACCAGGUGUCCAAAAUGUAUGGGGUGGGUAUAGAGAGCCCUCUGCUAGGAUGAACUUGGAAAGCACCACCCACUGAGGAAGAUCUCUUUGUCCCAUGCUAACUUGAGGAACCGUCCCUUGCCUCUCAGAGCAAAAAUCUACCAAGAAUGGUUUCAUAUUGUGAACUAUGUCAGGUGCAUACAAAAUUGCAGCAUCUGUAAUACAAUUUAAAAAUUCAGUUUAAGAAAUAAAUAUCACUGAGAGCACCUGUGUCCUUACUCUCAUUCCUCUUAUCAGAAAUAACCAGUGUUCUGAAUUUGGGGCUUGUAAUUUAAUCCCUGAACAUUUCUGUAUACUUGUAUGCAUGUGAUUAUAUGUGUGUGUAUGAGUAAAUAGUAUUUUGCAUAUUUCAUAGUCUUAUUUGAGUAGUUCCACACUACAUGUAUUCAUCUAUAACUUUUUUUUUUCCUUAGUGUGAUUGUGAGGCUUAUUCAUGUUUCAAUUCUGAGAUUGG
This is a long non-coding RNA of Myotis myotis, 2832 nucleotides long. RefSeq lists it as uncharacterized. NCBI's taxonomy places the organism in Eukaryota, Metazoa, Chordata, Mammalia, Chiroptera, Vespertilionidae. The transcript is spliced from 4 exons. The record is from RefSeq and is a predicted model, not a curated record.